AUUGAACGCUGGCGGCAUGCCUAACACAUGCAAGUCGAACGGCAGCACAGUAGAGCUUGCUCUAUGGGUGGCGAGUGGCGGACGGGUGAGUAAUGCAUCGGGAUCUACCCAAACGUGGGGGAUAACGUAGGGAAACUUACGCUAAUACCGCAUACGUCUUACGAGAGAAAGCAGGGGACCUUCGGGCCUUGCGCGGUUGGACGAACCGAUGUGCGAUUAGCUAGUUGGUAGGGUAAUGGCCUACCAAGGCGACGAUCGCUAGCUGGUCUGAAGAGGAUGAAUCAGCCACACUGGAACUGAGACACGGUCCAGACUCUACGGGAGGCAGCAGUGGGGAAUAUUGGACAAUGGGCGCAAGCCUGAUCCAGCAAUGCCGCGUGUGUGAAGAAGGCCUUCGGGUUGUAAAGCACUUUUAUCAGGAGCGAAAUACUACCGGCUAAUAUCCGGUGGGGCUGACGGUACCUGAGGAAUAAGCACCGGCUAACUUCGUGCCAGCAGCCGCGGUAAUACGAAGGGUGCAAGCGUUAAUCGGAAAUGUACUGGGCGUAAAGCGUGCGUAGGCGGUUAUUUAAGUCUGUUGUGAAAUCCCCGGGCUCAACCUGGGAAUGGCAAUGGAUACUGGAUAGCUAGAGUGUGAUAGAGGAUGGUGGAAUUCCCGGUGUAGCGGUGAAAUGCGUAGAGAUCGGGAGGAACAUCAGUGGCGAAGGCGGCCAUCUGGAUCAACACUGACGAGUGAGGCACGAAAGCGUGGGG
This 753-nucleotide ribosomal RNA is filed under the name gamma proteobacterium PG1-1/37. Its description in RNAcentral is "bacterial SSU rRNA". It matches the Rfam family "Bacterial small subunit ribosomal RNA", at positions 28 to 766 of the family's 1533-position model. The record is from RNAcentral. Lineage: Bacteria; Pseudomonadati; Pseudomonadota; Gammaproteobacteria.